This 468-nucleotide ribosomal RNA is filed under the name uncultured bacterium. RNAcentral's name for it is "partial 16S ribosomal RNA". It matches the Rfam family "Bacterial small subunit ribosomal RNA", at positions 28 to 507 of the family's 1533-position model. The record is from RNAcentral.
GACGAACGCUGGCGGCGUGCUUAACACAUGCAAGUCGAACGGAAAGGCCCUGCUUUUGUGGGGUGCUCGAGUGGCGAACGGGUGAGUAACACGUGAGUAACCUGCCCUUGACUUUGGGAUAAAUUCAGGAAACUGGGGCUAAUACCGGAUAGGAGCCCCUGCUGCAUGGUGGGGGUUGGAAAGUUUCGGCGGUUGGGGAUGGACUCGCGGCUUAUCAGCUUGUUGGUGGGGUAGUGGCUUACCAAGGCUUUGACGGAUAGCCGGCCUGAGAGGGUGACCGGCCACAUUGGGACUGAGAUACGGCCCAGACUCCUACGGGAGGCAGCAGUGGGGAAUAUUGCACAAUGGGCGGAAGCCUGAUGCAGCAACGCCGCGUGCGGGAUGACGGCCUUCGGGUUGUAAACCGCUUUCGCCUGUGACGAAGCGUGAGUGACGGUAAUGGGUAAAGAAGCACCGGCUAACUACGUG